GACGAACGCUGGCGACGUGCUUAACACAUGCAAGUCGAACGGUGAAGGGACCGGUUUUUGCUGGUUCUGGAUGAGUGGCGAACGGGUGAGUAACACGUGAGUAACCUGCCCCCUUCUUCUGGAUAACCGCAUGAAAGUGUGGCUAAUACGGGAUAUUCUGCGCCUGCUGCAUGGUGGGUGUGGGAAAGAUAUUGUUUCGGUGGGGGAUGGGCUCGCGGCCUAUCAGCUUGUUGGUGGGGUGAUGGCCUACCAAGGCGGUGACGGGUAGCCGGCCUGAGAGGGUGGACGGUCACACUGGGACUGAGACACGGCCCAGACUCCUACGGGAGGCAGCAGUGGGGAAUAUUGAACAAUGGGCGCAAGCCUGAUGCAGCGACGCCGCGUGAGGGAUGGAGGCCUUCGGGUUGUAAACCUCUUUCGCCAGUGAAGCAGGCCUGUCCCUUGUGUGGGUGGGUUGACGGUAGCUGGAUAAGAAGCGCCGGCUAACUACGUG
This 493-nucleotide ribosomal RNA is filed under the name uncultured bacterium. RNAcentral describes it as "partial 16S ribosomal RNA". It matches the Rfam family "Bacterial small subunit ribosomal RNA", at positions 28 to 507 of the family's 1533-position model. The record is from RNAcentral.